CCGGGAACCAUAUCUGUGGGUACCUCUGAGAACUUGUUCUGGGAGAGCUAACUUUUGUUUUCAUGUCCACAAAGACAGGCUUAGCCACUUUUUUUUUUUGAAGUUACCAUAUGACCUUCAAGGGCACUUGCUGUUAAUUUGAAUUUCAUUCAUUUGUGGAGUAAAGACAAAUGUGCAAAGUAGACCCCAGGGAAUGCUUGUUGGAUUACAGGCUUGCUAUCUGAGUUAUGCACGACCGUUACUCCUCUUACUGCUGUGGAUUUAGGGUAAGGCCAGUGGGGAUUAUGAAUCGUUGCCUAUCUGUGUAACGCCUCACCUACCCAUGCGUCUUCCCCCAGGUGCCAUUGCAGGGAAAGCAGGUGGCCACCGACAGACUGGAAGGACAUAGACUAAAGUUUUAACUUGGUUAUCUUGGACUAGUGGGGUUACAGAGAUAAAAUUUUCUGAAAUUAAAAAUAAUAGACUGGAUAGUCUGUGAACUACAAACUUACCAUGGUCCUCUCGGGGUUCUUCUGUAGUGGAAGCUUGUAAUUUCCAACUUAAUUACUGCUUCUGCAUGGAUUUGUGCUGUACUGCAUUGCAGAGCGUGCCGGCUUAAACAGG
This 603-nucleotide long non-coding RNA is filed under the name Equus asinus (donkey). RNAcentral's name for it is "lncRNA (ENSEASG00005038558.1)". The record is from RNAcentral. Lineage: Eukaryota; Metazoa; Chordata; Mammalia; Perissodactyla; Equidae.